Molecule: long non-coding RNA, 460 nt
Organism: Orbicella faveolata
Lineage: Eukaryota; Metazoa; Cnidaria; Anthozoa; Scleractinia; Merulinidae
Source: RefSeq, a predicted model, not a curated record
AACAUAUUAACCACGAGCACGGAAUUAGAAUUUAUGACAAGAAUGUUUUACUUCGUAUUCUUCCAAAGUCAGUCAUAACCUUUGUUGAGCACUGUUCCGUGAAGUUGACACACUUUGAGUACCAAAAACUGCAUUCUGACAGACCAGAACCGAAAUGUCCAAGAUAUUGCUUGUAUUGAUGAUCGUAUGCUUCGCAUCUGUGCACAGUUCCCCGUUUUUAUUCCAACCACCAAUUGGGAACUGUGAAUGCAUACAUCCAGAGCACUGCGGCCAGUAUAAUAUAUGCCAAGGUGCCAUCUGCAAUACACUCAGUUCCUGUUGUCUUUGUAGCUGUGAAAGUGCUGUUUGCAAGUACAUGGAUAUUUUCGGCUGAUUUUGAUGAAGUCAAAAAUGAAUUAAACUAACUCAUGAAAUGUGGCAUGUAUUGAGGGUAUAAAACGAAUAAAACUGGUUUAAACUA